Molecule: long non-coding RNA, 868 nt
Filed under: Heterocephalus glaber (naked mole-rat)
Lineage: Eukaryota; Metazoa; Chordata; Mammalia; Rodentia; Bathyergidae
Description: lncRNA (ENSHGLG00000034408.1)
Source: RNAcentral
CGCGUCCCGCAGUGUGAGGCCUCACGGAGCCUGCACGGGUGGGCGGGAAACAGUUUCCGGCCCAGGUGAAGGCAGGAUUGGAGCUGAUCUCACUUGAUUCCCAGCCGAAGAAUAACCUGUUUCCGGGCCGGGGAUUUAGCUCAGUGGUUCCGCCGCCUGCCUCACAGGCCCAAGGACCCAAGUUCGAUCCCCGGUAUCAAAAAAAAAAAAAAAAAAGAGUAACGUGUUUCCUCCCCUCCCCUCCGGUAUGAGUGCUGCAAGUUCUGCCUCGGGCGAAGUGUCUGUAAUUCCCACCAAAGACCUGGGGAGUUUCUGAGAUUCGUUCAGUGGCACACUAGUAGCUGAUGAGGAAGACCGGCCGAGACCUGAAACCAUCUAACUCCUACAGGACUUAAUCAAUCAGAAAAGCCCUCUGUGGAACAUGACAAUGCACAUCAAUCGCCUCAAUGUCAAUUCAUACUUCUGUGGCUUCCAGCAGCAUCAAACAGCCCACACUCCUGCCAAGGCUAGUCCAAUUUAAAACUGAGCAAAUUAUACACUGAGCCAUGCCCAUUAGUUUUUUGUAUCCAUCUCUGACUGUUCAGCACCUUCCCCCUCUUUUCAAAUUUGUGCCCACACACGGGGAAAAACAUUUUUAUCAUUUGAAAGAUUUGAAGAGAACCUUUCAUCUCCUAUUUUUUAAAAACUUAUGUUCAAACAUUUUGAAUGUAAUGUGCAUAAUAUUAAGAUAAAAUAUUACACAAGAAUCAAAGAAAAUAUUAAAGAAAUCGACACUCCCACCAUUGCUGGAAGAGGUGAAUCCAAGUUGGAUGGCCACAUGAUUGGAAUGACCAUUGGCUCUGGAUAUAAAGAAGACAAGUCAACACCC